Molecule: ribosomal RNA, 886 nt
Filed under: uncultured bacterium
Lineage: Bacteria
Description: bacterial SSU rRNA
Rfam family: Bacterial small subunit ribosomal RNA
Source: RNAcentral
CUUAACUCUGGAAACUGCCAUCAAAACUUUUUAGCUAGAGUAUGAUAGAGGAAAGCAGAAUUUCUAGUGUAGAGGUGAAAUUCGUAGAUAUUAGAAAGAAUACCAAUUGCGAAGGCAGCUUUCUGGAUCAUUACUGACGCUGAGGAACGAAAGCAUGGGUAGCGAAGAGGAUUAGAUACCCUCGUAGUCCAUGCCGUAAACGAUGUGUGUUAGACGUUGGAAAUUUAUUUUCAGUGUCGCAGCGAAAGCAUUAAACACACCGCCUGGGGAGUACGACCGCAAGGUUAAAACUCAAAUGAAUUGACGGGGACCCGCACAAGUAGUGGAGCAUGUGGUUUAAUUCGAAGAUACGCGCAGAACCUUACCAACACUUGACAUGUUCGUCGCGACUUUAAGAGAUUAAAGUUUUCGGUUCGGCCGGACGAAACACAGGUGCUGCAUGGCUGUCGUCAGCUCGUGUCGUGAGAUGUUGGGUUAAGUCCCGCAACGAGCGCAACCCUCACUUUUAGUUGCCAUCAUUUAGUUGGGCACUCUGAAAGAACUGCCAGUGAUAAGCUGGAGGAAGGUGGGGAUGACGUCAAGUCCUCAUGGCCCUUACGUGUUGGGCUACACACGUGCUACAAUGGCAUUUACAAUAGGAAGCAAGAUGGCGACGUCAAGCAAAUCCUAAAAAGAUGCCUCAGUUCGGAUUGUACUCUGCAACUCGAGUACAUGAAGCUGGAAUUACUAGUAAUCGCGGAUCAGCGCGCCGCGGUGAAUACGUUCCCGGGUCUUGUACACACCGCCCGUCACACCAUGGGAGUUGGUUCUACCUUAAGGCAAGGUUUAAAACCCUUGACCACGGUAUAGUCAGCGACUGGGGUGAAGUCGUAACAAGGUAACCGUA